This 8422-nucleotide long non-coding RNA is filed under the name Malus domestica (apple). RNAcentral's name for it is "long non-coding RNA (MDOM_LNC007652)". Lineage: Eukaryota; Viridiplantae; Streptophyta; Magnoliopsida; Rosales; Rosaceae. The record is from RNAcentral.
ACGGGAAUGUGAAUUGACGGGUUUGCCCUUAGUGGGUGCUAAGGUAUGUGUGUGACACAUUAUGGAUUAUGCAUAUUUUCCUAAAGUUUGGAAAGUUGUAUAUGGAUUAAAAAAUUUGGGUUUUUCAUUUUUGUAUGGUUAGGAUGAAAUGGAUGGUGGAGAUUGAGUGGACCACCCACACCUAAAACUCCCUAUUCUCUCUCUUCCUCUUCCCGUAUCACUCUCUCUCUCCUCCCUCACGAUUCUUCCCCUCUCUCACCCACAUCGUACGGACGGCAACCAAAACCACCCAAAACUUCGUGGAUCGAAGCAAAUAAGGUAAGAAUCUUCACCCUCUUGAAGUUCUGAGUUGAUUGGUGUUAGUUUUAGGACGUAGAAACCUUCGAAAAACCCCUGAACCCGAACCUCCAUUUUUGAGUUACUGUUCAUGCGCACGUAAAAUGUCGUGUUUUAGGGAAUUCUAAGCUUGUAGUGAGCUUAGGGAAGUCCUAAGGAGGCUCGGAGUACUUCGUUUGAAGGAUUUGGACGUCGGGAUCACGUGGUUCCAUUUUGGCCGAAUUUCUUGGGAAUUUUCCGGUGAGAUUUCUUGAUUUUUAGAGCCUUAAAGUAGUGUAUUGUGAUUUCUACAUGUUUGGGGCUUCAAUUUGAUAUAUUAUACGAAGAAAAUGGGUGAAAAACGAAGGAGAAUAGGGCAUUUGAAGUUUGGCCGGAAACCGGCCACCGGGAAAAAACCAGUCCGGCGACUGGCUGAGGAAGAUGAUGCGCGUGGGGGCGCGUGUCCCCGUGCUUGCCCUGGCGCGUGGGGGCGCGUGCCACAUCAAAAAAAUUAUUUUUUAAAAAAUAUGUCAACGUCCGUGACGUCGAGUAGAUCACUGUGGCAUAUUCAUAUACCCAAAUUGAGCACCGUAUGAGAAAGUUAUUAAGGAUUGUUGGUUAGGUGUUCGAUUAACGUUUUAUAGUUUUCGCAUUAGGUGAAAAUGUGAAUUGAUGAUCCGACCGUUGGAUCGUUACCAAACUUUGGUACGUUGUAAUACGUAAUAUUUGAGGAUUAUUGGAACUUACGGAUUGGGAAUCCGAGUUACGGAUCUUCCGGAAUUGGAGUUGUAAGUUCAUGAAAUAAAAUGUUAACCGUCACUUAGUUUUGGAAAUUGACGGAGAUUCGACCGUUGGAUGGUAAUGAAAUUUCAGGAUGUUGUCCUAGAGAUAUAUUUUGUGGGCCUCUGGAAGUUAUGGAUUUAAAAUCUGAGUUGCAGAUCUUUCGGAUCGAACUGCGUAGUGAUGUGUUUUAUAUAAGUUAUAUUCUAUCGAGAUGAUUUCUGAGGUUGGAUUUGAUUAUUGUUCUAGGCGGCGAUCGUCAUGACGCCUUGAUGUGUUGUGCUAGGGAGUUGUAGGGCGAACUCCAGGUGAGUGGGCAGUUUUGUUUUCGUAUUACCUAUAUACUAUUGAGUUUUCCCAGAAAUUGAAUUUAAAUGAAAGCAUGAUUUAAAAUGCCAUGGAUAGAAUUAUAUGAAAAGUAUGAUUUGGAAUGCCAUGCAUAGAAGUAUAUGAAAAGCAUGAAUUGAUAUAUGAUGCAUAUAUAUAUAUGUGAAUUGGUGCUGUGGACGCACAGGUAAGUAUCAGGUGAGUUUUAUAUUAUUCAUGUGCAUUGUUGAUGUGUAUAUUGUGGAUAGCUCAUAACCUGCAAUCAUGGUGUUAGUGCUUAUAUUAUUCACCACACCGCACGUUCGUCUUGGAUCCAAGUAGGUGGAUGUCGUACAGACCAAGUGAGGGUUCCGACAUGCUAGUCGUAUAGAUUACUAGAUGUGAUUCCGACUAGUGGGUGACCUUAGAUUAUGUGCACAGAUGAUUGAUGAGAGAAGCACUAGAGCGUAUUAUUACACCAUCCAUGUCGUACAGACUACUUCAGGUAGUUCCGACUUAUCUGCAGUGUAGUGCCGUACAGGUCAUCGAGGUGACUCCGGUUGGAUUGGAUGUUGAGCUAUGGAAUUAACCGUACAGGACCAACUGCAGGGUCUCCGGUUAAUUCAACUUUUCACCUGUUACAUUGAUGCAUCAUUUAUUUUGUUUUCGAAAUUAAAACAUGGCAUACUUUCGAGUUUUAAAGAAAAAUUGAUGAUUCGAGAUUUAUGAAAAGUAUUAUGUUAUUAUAUUAUUUUCUGGGAAAAGUAUACAGGUUUUACAGUGAGGGGUUAUAAUUAUUUUUGGCGAAAUGUUUUUGAAAAGAUUUGUUUUACUGACCCACUCAAUUUUGUUUUUCGCCCCUCCAGGUUCUUGAUAGCAGAGUUUUGGUGGCCACGAGGAAUCCAACGGUAUUCUGACAGAAUUCACAAAAAGUAGGACUCAUCCUCGAGGGUUUCCAUUUUAAUAAUUGUAUUUUAAAAGCUUCCGAACUGUGUAAAUGGUUACGUCACUCUCAUGUGACGGCCAGCAUGCCCUCCUUCGAGAUGGGGUGUGUCAGUUGGUAUCAGAGCCUAGGUUGCAAUCCUGGACAUCUUGAGAAUUUCCUAUUGAAUUCUGUCAGAACUAUACCGCCUCGUAGCAAGCCACGUAGUUCAGAUGAACCUAGUCUCCCUGAUAUAGCAGUGUAGGGGAAACUAUUACUAUGGUGAUUCAGUCUAUUACCUAAAUUAACCAUUAGAGACUUAUUAUAAGUUGAAUUUGAAUCACUUAAUGGAAAUGAUGAACCUGAGGGAGCGGAGUGACGGUUUAACCAAUUGGAAAAGAUGUUUUAGAUUAUGCAAGUCAAAGGAAUCUUCCUUCUGACAGGUGGGUCGAGACGACUACCUGGUUUUGAGUUAUGAACUUGUAUCCUGGUGGAAACAGGAGUAUUAUUUGUUGUCACCGGAGGAAACAACUGAUUGAGAAUUGUUUAAGGACUUGUUAAAGAAAAGAAUUAUUCCUCCGGCAUAUUAUGAUGGUAGUAAGCAAGAGUUUGCAAAUGUGAAUCAAGGUGAUUUGAAUAAAGGAAAGGUACCUUUGUGCAGUAGGUACAAUAUUUGACACUUUGGAAAGUGUGGGAAUCAGUGAAUGUGUUCAUGUGGACAGAUGGGACAUAGAGUUAUGAAUUGUCCCUAGAAUCAGUUGUACCCAACAGUUUUCCAUGACACCAUAGUAUCGAUUCAGCAGGUUUACAGACUUAGUAGUUUGGUCGGAUUGACCGUGGGUACAGAGAUAUUUGAUGAGUUAAAUGUUCAGCUGUGCAGGUCAGCUGAUAUAAUCCUUAUUAUUGAAGAUGUACCAAAGAAAGUAGUGGAUGAACACGAUCGAGGCAUGUAUAUGUAUUUUCUAAGAGAGGCAAGAUGGUAAUAUUGUAUCCUUGGGAAUUGUUGCUUACUUAUCGAGACAACAGUGAGUUAUCUGUAUUGCGGGCUGCAGACCGUAAUAUUUAUAACUUAUUUGUUGGAUUCGUUAAGCAAGUAAACAGGUAAGUUGCCCUACCUUGGUUUGGUGUUCAGUGAUGGUGGAAGAAGUAGUUAUGCCAGUGAAUCUUAUCGUAUUAGGCAUUGUGGAUUUCGAUGUGAUUUUAAGCACAGAUUGGUUAGGUUAUAAUCUUGCCAAUAUGGAUUAUCAGAGGUUACUUUUAUGGGUAUGCAAAGUGGAUUGAGUUAGGCCAUUAUUGUGCUUUGAGAACAAGAUAUAAAUAUCGAAAGACUGCCCAGGGAUAUUUAGCUCAAGUGGUGCUAAAUGAUGUUGCUUCUAGUAUUUUGGGAAAUGUAAAGGUGGUUAGACAUUUUCUUGAUGUUUUCUCUGAGGAAUUACCUGGAUUGCCGUCGGGCGGAGAUGUAGAGUUCAAUGUUGAAUUGUCUCCAGGUACAAAUUUUAUGUUAGAGAUUGAUUCAUGAGGAGUUAAGGGAAUUGGAAAUUCGGUUACAUGAAUUAGUUGAUAAAGGUUUCAUUCAAAGUACAUCACGUAGAGGGAGCACCAGCUUAUUGUCGAGGAAGGAAAUGGACAUUAAGGCUAUACAUUGAAUAUAGGCAAUUGAAUCGGGUAAUGAUCAAGAACCGUUAUCCAUUGUUGCGUAUUGAUGAUUUAUUGAUCAACUUAGAGGUCUGCGUAUUUCCUAAGAUUGACAUAAGGUCUGGUUGUUACUGAUUGAAGAGUUAAUGAUAACGUUCCUAAGAUUGUGUUCAGGACUCGUUACGGUCAUUAUGAGUUUUAGUGAUGUUAUUCGGAUUGACGGAUUCUCCUGCUGUUUUAUGAGUUUGAUGGAUGAAGUAUUCCAGGAAUGCCUUAACAAGUUGUUAUUAUUUUCAUUGACGAUAUUCUGGUAUACUCUGAGCCUAGAGCAGAGCAGGUUAGGCAUGUUAAAUUGGUGUUGCAAGAUUGAGAGAACGUCGAUGGUAUGCUAAGUUUAACAAAUGUCAAGGUUGAAUGGAUUAAGUAACAUUUCUGAGAUAAGUAUAUUGCUAAAGGUAUUCAAGUGAAUUCUUAAAAGGUAGCAGAAAUUGAGAAUUUAGAAUAACCAGGAACCGUGAUUGAGAUUGGAAGUUUCGUAGUUCGGCAGACUAUUACGGACGGUUUGUGAAAGAUUUUCUAGUCCUUACUUUGCCAUUGUCGAGAUUGACGAGAACAUAAGUUAAGUUUGAAUGGGAUGAUAAUUGCGAGCAAGGGUUUCAACAGUUGAAGUAUUUCCUCACUCGUACGCGUAUUCUAGCGCUCACUGGAGAUAGCGGUAAUUACGAGAUCCUUAGUGAUGCUUCUUUGAUUGGUUUUGGAUGAGUGUUAAUGUAGUAAGGUAGAGAGAUUGCCUAUGCUUCUCGGCAAUCGAAGCUUCAUGAAAAUGAAUUACUCUACUCGUAAUUUGGACUUUGCAACUAUUAUCCUUACUUUGAAAUUUUUGGAGAUAUUAUCGUUGUGGUGAGAAAUACAAAAUUGUUAUGGAUUUUAAGAGUCUCUAAUAUCUGUUUACUCGAAGGAUCUUAAUCUUAGGCAACGAAGGUGGUUAGAUCUGCUUAGUGAUUAUGAUUGCACGACAAGAUGAUCAUACAAAUGUGUGGUGGCCAAUGUUUUUAGUAGGAAGACCCUAGUGAGAAUUAAUGUUUGGUACAGUUGUCAUGUUCAUCUUCUUGUGGAUUUGAGAUCUAUUGGAGUAAAGUUGGGAAUGGAAGAUCGAAAAAAGAACUUGCUAAUUUUCAAGUUGACCUAAUUGGUAGAUCGUACUCGAGACUCAAGCAUUUGAUGAAGAAAUUCAAGUAUUUAUUUUAAAGCAAGGAAUAGCGAGGAAAAGAAAGACCUCAGAGUCAGAGAAUCAGAUGGCAAGCUGAUGCAAGAGAACAAGGUAUUUGUACCUAAUGUUAUGGAGUUAAGGAAGUAAUUUUGGAAUUAGCGUACGGUUCAGUUUAUGCAAUGCAUCCUGGGGGUACUGAUAUGUAUUAUACCAUUCGAUCAUAUUACUAUUGAUCAAGUAUGAAAAGAGAAACUUUGGUAUAUAUUAAUAGUGUAUCAUCGGAUAGCAGGUUAAAUCAGAAAGAAAUAAGUCUUUUGGAUUGAUGUAGUCACUUCCCAUUCCACUGUGGAAAUGAGAAAAUAUUAAUAUAGAUUGUGUGUGCAAGUUCCUCGUUCACGAAACGGUUAUAAUGAAAUUUGAGGUGAUAAUUGAUUUGUUUACUAAAGCAGAGCAGUAUUCUUCAAUGAAAGAGCAAUCACCUUUCCAGAAGUGCAACAGUUAUUUAUUUGUCUUAUGGAAAAGAGAUUUGGUCUUACGGAUCUGUUGAACUUCUUGGGUAUGUUGGUCCUGUCAGCUUGUUCCCGAGAGCAACGCCAUAAGGCCGUGGAAAGCUGUGUCUUGUGUUUCAAAACUGUUAGAAUUGUGAACGGAUGGUAUUUUGGGGAGCAAAAAGGUUUAACCACAAAAAGUCAAUUUUAAGGCCCUGAGUUAGUAGAGGAGACUACUCAAAAUAUUCAAGUGAUUAAGUUUAACCUGAAAGCAGCCCAGGAUCGACAGAAGAGUUUAGCUGAUCGACAUGCCACUGAUCGAGUGUAUGAUGUGGGGUAAUUUGGUGUUCUUGAAAUUGUCACCUUGGAGAGGUGUGGUAUGAUUUUGGGAAAAGAGGAAAGCUAAGUCCGAGAUACAUUGGACCCUAUGAGAUCACUGAAAGAAUUGGUGAAGUUGCCUACCGGUUGGAGUUGCCUCCGGAGUUAUCUAAGGUCCAUAAUGUAUUUCACGUCUCUAUGCUUCGACAUUAUAUUUAUGAUCCUUCGCAUGUGAUUCCUCCUCAACCGUUGGAGAUCAAUUCGGAUUUGACGUAUGAUGAGGAACCAGUGACUAUCUUGGAUUGGAAGGAUAAGGUUCUAAGGAACAAAACGGUGAGUUGGGUGAAGGUGUUGUGGAUGAACCAUUCUGUAAAAGAAGCUAUCUGGGAGACAGAAGAUCGAAUGAGAGAGAUGUACCAAGGUUGUUCUAUGGGUAUUGAGUGGUUUACUUGGUUAUGGGAAUUUCGGGGACGAAAUUCUAUAAGGAGGGAAGAUUGUCACAACCCGUCCCGAAGGUACAUUUGACGGGAAUGUGAAUUGACGGGUUUGCCCUUAGUGGGUGCUAAGGUAUGUGUGUGACACAUUAUGGAUUAUGCAUAUUUUCCUAAAGUUUGGAAAGUUGUAUAUGGAUUAAAAAAUUUGGGUUUUUCAUUUUUGUAUGGUUAGGAUGAAAUGGAUGGUGGAGAUUGAGUGGACCACCCACACCUAAAACUCCCUAUUCUCUCUCUUCCUCUUCCCGUAUCACUCUCUCUCUCCUCCCUCACGAUUCUUCCCCUCUCUCACCCACAUCGUACGGACGGCAACCAAAACCACCCAAAACUUCGUGGAUCGAAGCAAAUAAGGUAAGAAUCUUCACCCUCUUGAAGUUCUGAGUUGAUUGGUGUUAGUUUUAGGACGUAGAACCUUCGAAAAACCCCUGAACCCGAACCUCCAUUUUUGAGUUACUGUUCAUGCGCACGUAAAAUGUCGUGUUUUAGGGAAUUCUAAGCUUGUAGUGAGCUUAGGGAAGUCCUAAGGAGGCUCGGAGUACUUCGUUUGAAGGAUUUGGACGUCGGGAUCACGUGGUUCCAUUUUGGCCGAAUUUCUUGGGAAUUUUCCGGUGAGAUUUCUUGAUUUUUUAGAGCCUUAAAGUAGUGUAUUGUGAUUCUACAUGUUUGGGGCUUCAAUUUGAUAUAUUAUACGAAGAAAAAUGGGUGAAAAACGAAGGAGAAUAGGGGCAUUUGAAGUUUGGCCGGAAACCGGCCACCGGGAAAAAACCAGUCCGGCGACUGGCUGAGGAAGAUGAUGCGCGUGGGGGCGCGUGUCCCCGUGCUUGCCCUGGCGCGUGGGGGCGCGUGCCACAUCAAAAAAUUAUUUUAAAAAUAUGUCAACGUCCGUGACGUCGAGUAGAUCACUGUGGCAUAUUCAUAUACCCAAAUUGAGCACCGUAUGAGAAAGUUAUUAAGGAUUGUUGGUUAGGUGUUCGAUUAACGUUUUAUAGUUUUCGCAUUAGGUGAAAAUGUGAAUUGAUGAUCCGACCGUUGGAUCGUUACCAAACUUUGGUACGUUGUAAUACGUAAUAUUUGAGGAUUAUUGGAACUUACGGAUUGGGAAUCCGAGUUACGGAUCUUCCGGAAUUGGAGUUGUAAGUUCAUGAAAUAAAAUGUUAACCGUCACUUAGUUUUGGAAAUUGACGGAGAUUCGACCGUUGGAUGGUAAUGAAAUUUCAGGAUGUUGUCCUAGAGAUAUAUUGUGGGCCUCUGGAAGUUAUGGAUUUAAAAUCUGAGUUGCAGAUCUUUCGGAUCGAACUGCGUAGUGAUGUGUUUUAUAUAAGUUAUAUUCUAUCGAGAUGAUUUCUGAGGUUGGAUUUGAUUAUUGUUCUAGGCGGCGAUCGUCAUGACGCCUUGAUGUGUUGUGCUAGGGAGUUGUAGGGCGAACUCCAGGUGAGUGGGCAGUUUUGUUUUCGUAUUACCUAUAUACUAUUGAGUUUUCCCAGAAAUUGAAUUUAAAUGAAAGCAUGAUUUAAAAUGCCAUGGAUAGAAUUAUAUGAAAAGUAUGAUUUGGAAUGCCAUGCAUAGAAGUAUAUGAAAAGCAUGAAUUGAUAUAUGAUGCAUAUAUAUAUAUGUGAAUUGGUGCUGUGGACGCACAGGUAAGUAUCAGGUGAGUUUUAUAUUAUUCAUGUGCAUUGUUGAUGUGUAUAUUGUGGAUAGCUCAUAACCUGCAAUCAUGGUGUUAGUGCUUAUAUUAUUCACCACACCGCACGCUCGUCUUGGAUCCAAGUAGGUGGAUGUCGUACAGACCAAGUGAGGGUUCCGACAUGCUAGUCGUAUAGAUUACUAGAUGUGAUUCCGACUAGUGGGUGACCUUAGAUUAUGUGCACAGAUGAUUGAUGAGAGAAGCACUAGAGCGUAUUUAUUACACCAUCCAUGUCGUACAGACUACUUCAGGUAGUUCCGACUUAUCUGCAGC